UCUGGGUCUAGACAGUCGCUGGCGUUAAGCUAGAGGAAAGUCCAUGCUCGCACGAUCUGUGAUGAUCGUAGUGUUUGUGCUAGAUGAAUUAAUAAGUCUAGGCAGGUCCCAACCUGACGGCCGUCGAUUUUCCUAAGGGAAACUAUGGAAAUAGACUAUAAAAGUGCCACAGAGACGAGUCAAUAUGGAAACAUAUUGAGUGGAACGGGUAAACCCCGCAAGCGAGAAACCCAAAUUUGGUAGGGGAGUCAGCCGGAUUGAAACGAAAUGAAGGCUGGAUAACGAAAGUUAUAGAUAAAUGACUGUCACUGACUUGUCAGAACAGAACAUGGCUUAUUGAUCCA
Molecule: RNase P RNA, 344 nt
Filed under: Faecalitalea cylindroides ATCC 27803
Lineage: Bacteria; Bacillati; Bacillota; Erysipelotrichia; Erysipelotrichales; Erysipelotrichaceae
Description: Bacterial RNase P class B
Rfam family: Bacterial RNase P class B
About the family: Ribonuclease P (RNase P) is a ubiquitous endoribonuclease, found in archaea, bacteria and eukarya as well as chloroplasts and mitochondria. Its best characterised activity is the generation of mature 5'-ends of tRNAs by cleaving the 5'-leader elements of precursor-tRNAs. Cellular RNase Ps are ribonucleoproteins.
Source: RNAcentral